UAAGCACAUACGUGCAGCGGGCUAGGUUGUUUUCCACAGUUCUGGACGUUAACGAAAUCAGCAAGCCGACUUAUACAGAAGAAACGUAGGGGCAUCUACAGUUGUUACCAAACCCUAUCAUCAAGGUUCAAGCCCAAAAGAUCCCCACGAUGGCCUACGAUCCACAUCAGGGAAUGUCAACGGCCAUGCUUGAGCAUUUCCUUAGCGUUACUCGUAAAAACGGAUAUCAUUGUGUUUUUCCGUAUGGGUGGAAAUUGCCACUCCCCUACGAUGUUAUACGCGACGACCUGAGAGCCCCCUUCUUUAUCGGAUGGACAUUUCGG
Long non-coding RNA from Dermacentor silvarum, 323 nucleotides. RefSeq lists it as uncharacterized. The record is from RefSeq and is a predicted model, not a curated record. The transcript has 3 exons. Lineage: Eukaryota; Metazoa; Arthropoda; Arachnida; Ixodida; Ixodidae.